UACAGAGGGUGCGAGCGUUAAUCGGAAUUACUGGGCGUAAAGCGCGCGUAGGCGGCUUUGCAAGUCGGGGGUGAAAUCCCCAGGCUUAACCUGGGAACUGCAUUCGAGACUGCAUUGCUAGAGUAUGGGAGAGGGAAGUGGAAUUUCCGGUGUAGCGGUGAAAUGCGCAGAUAUCGGGAGGAACACCAAUGGCGAAGGCAGCUCGCUGGGACGUUACUGACGCUGAGACGCGAAAGCGUGGGGAGCAAACAGG
This 253-nucleotide ribosomal RNA is filed under the name uncultured bacterium. Its description in RNAcentral is "partial 16S ribosomal RNA". It matches the Rfam family "Bacterial small subunit ribosomal RNA", at positions 524 to 776 of the family's 1533-position model. The record is from RNAcentral.